AACGAACGCUGGCGGCAUGCCUAACACAUGCAAGUCGAACGAGACCUUCGGGUCUAGUGGCGCACGGGUGCGUAACGCGUCGGAACCUGCCCUUAGGUUCGGAAUAACUCCCCGAAAGGGGUGCUAAUACCGGAUAAUGUCUUCGGACCAAAGAUUUAUCGCCUUUGGAUGGGCCCGCGUUGGAUUAGCUCGUUGGUAGGGUAAAAGCCUACCACGGCGACGAUCAAUAGCUGGUCUGAGAGGAUGAUCAGCCACACUGGGACUGAGACACGGCCCAGACUCCUACGGGAGGCAGCAGUGGGGAAUAGUGGACAAUGGGCGAAAGCCUGAUCCAGCAAUGCCGCGUGAGUGAUGAAGGCCUGAGGGUUGUAAAGCUCUUUUACCCGGGAUGAUAAUGACAGUACCGGGAGAAUAAGCUCCGGCUAACUCCGUG
RNAcentral lists this ribosomal RNA (433 nucleotides) under uncultured bacterium. RNAcentral describes it as "partial 16S ribosomal RNA". It matches the Rfam family "Bacterial small subunit ribosomal RNA", at positions 29 to 507 of the family's 1533-position model. The record is from RNAcentral.